GAAGUUCAUCAACUGCCAAUAAAUAAAUAGGAAUCAGAGAUUUUCAGCCUCUAUUUUGGCUGGUAGAGGGAAAAACACGCUGUGUAGUUGAGCACAUGUUUAAUCUGCAGAGGAAGUGAAUUACACCUGUGGCCAAGAAGCAACAUGACUGCUCACUGCUGCAACCAGAGCGACUUCCCUUUGUUUGACUGUCCACACAGGACAUCAUGGAGAAGCACAGAGCUGCACAAAUCUCUGCCUGGCCCCAGCACGCUCAGCACCAGAGGCCAACAUGGUGCUGCGUGUGGGUGCCCAGCCACAGCACAUCUGUGGGGUGCUGCUUGCCGGCAUGUUCCCUCAGUUAAGUUACUUCAGAUUCCUAAGUGAUUCAUCCUCUUUGGACAAACGUCCUUCACUUCCCACGGUUAAGACAUGAAACACAGGUCAGACACUUUGACAAAAUCAGCUCCCCAACUGUGUGGCUGUCCAGCUCAGAGCAGCAGUGGGGAAGGCAGCAAAAACAUCCCUAAACGACAGGAAAAAUCCCCUAUGCCAUGGAGAGAGGACCACGCUACCAAGCGCCAUGCUGAAAAGAUAUCAACUUUUGAAGUACAGUCCAGCUGAAUAAAUACCAGUGAAAGUCAAUAGACAAAUCCUGUUAGGAGCUGCAGUGCUCUGGGAACCUGAUUGGAAUUUGAACAUUUGCAUUGAUUUUUUUUUUCCACAUUACCAGCUGGGAGUAAGCAGUAGAGAGGAGGUGCGCUGAUCGCUCCAUGGGAACACGACUCGCUAGCAAAGGAUUACCUUUUAAAGGAUUAUCGUUUAAACAAAGACAAAAAAAAAAAAAUCAGUAUACUGCAAGCAACUAGCUCAAAUCAAAAGAAACACAUUAAUCCAACAGGAUUAUCAGAGCUCUUUCCUUUACCCUUGCAUAUGUAAGCUCUGAUCAUCAAGUCCUUUUAACUCCAGCCAGGAAGAAAGAUUAGUAGCUGCCUGCACUGCUCCUACAUUGUGAAAUUUCCAGAACUGAGCUCUUUUACUUCCCUCUGGGAGGCAGGCUGCAUUUCAUCCAGCAGUGCUCCCAAAUGACAAGUCUUGCAAAACACCUGGAACGAGGCACGAAUUGUAGAGGCAGAGAUGAAUAGAAUUCUCAAAUCAUGCAAGAUUCAGCAGAGUAGGGGAGGAGAAUCAUUACCAUCACUGAGACAGAGAACAAGAAAGAAAAGUAAGUUUAAAGGUACCACAACGAAAUGCAUGGUAAGGACUUCCUGCACCUCCUUUCGUUUCUAACAUUAUCCUUUCAAGCUGACCUGACCAACAUUUCUGAAACCACCUCAUUACAAACUACAAUAGAUUGCUGGGCAUCAAUUUUGAAAAUCAAUCACGAUACAUAUCUCAAAAUGUGAUUUUAAUAUACACAGUUCCCUGCCAGACUGCAAUAUAACACAUGUUGAUAAACCCCAUUCAAAAAUCCCCCUUAGCGCUGGCAUGCAAGAGGCAGCAUCAGCUAACACAGAGUUCAAUUAAAAUAAAACAGCAACAUUUGUUGAUCAAUUUCUAGGGUGCAUAUUGAAGAGCAGCUUCAGGAUGAAACGUUGAGCAUCUCCCCUUGAAAGAGUGUUGGACUCUACAUUUUGAGAGACUGAUUUCACCCUCUGUAUGGCAAACAAAAGCAAGUCCAGGAGUGGCCUCCAGCCCUUAGAUCUAGAUUGCUUAUUAUUACAGAUACUAAAAGUAUUAGCAGCAAGGAUUGUUUCUAAAAAAGUUCAGGCUCCUCUCUUAAGAAAAAAUCUACUCAAAAAAAUCCACAUAAGAGAAAACACUGUCCCUAUUCAUUCAGUAUAGGGAUUUAGCCCUUAAUGAGGUGUUUAUGACCCCGGACUCAACUAGGAGUUCAGUUUUUCUAAUGACUCAGCACCUCAGUGGUUUUGGCUUUAAUUCUUUUAAAUAUACAAGAACAGCACCAGGACAGGGAUGCUAAAUGAGCUCCAUGAGCGCUGGUCAGUUGUAUGCAGAACACUCCACUCUUGCUCCAAAAACCAAUGUUUUUUUUCCAAAAAACUUCUGCAGCCAGGGAGAAAAAGAGAAAAGAAAAAAAAGGAGAAUUUUAAGUAAGCUUAGUUUCUCACUAUGAAAUAUUCAUAUUGGAAUAUCCAGUUACUAAAAUGUGCAAAUUUAAAUAAUGAGUAAUCCAGCGUAAUUUACAAAUAAGAACUGGACAGGAAUGUUUUAAAUCUCAGCUUUCUGAAUGAGCAAAGCCAUCGAGCUUUCCAACACUUUAUCAACUGAACAAGCGGAGCAGAAACUCUGGCCCAAGUCUUCACAUUUCCUCAGUGCUCUCUUUACAGCCCUUGCCAAGAAGAAGGAUUAUUUGAAAUUUUGUGGAAAGCAAAUGAAUGCUGAAGAAGUUCACCCCAAAUGAAACUGAAAAUCUUCCUGCGCUCUGAGCCAAAAAGAUACGAGAAGUGAAAAAGGACAGGUUGCUUAAACCGACAUCUGCAGUCACAAAAAUGCCUUUUUUUCCUGCUGUCAAUUCUGCUGAAGUUAGAAAAUAGAAAUGAUGCGAAUACCAAUUUUUGUGGUGUCUCUGGAGAUAACAUGCUUUUAGCUUUGUUAACAACGCAGCUGACUAACUCUGGUUACUUUCUGUUGGCAUAUACUCAUCUGACAACGUUUUUAAAACGUAAAUUCUUCUGGGAGCGCGUCUUUGUCGAGUAUUAAUGGCACUAGUAACUUAAAUUGACAUCUAUGUCAUGCAGCCAUGCAUCUGUCAGUAUAAUAAAAAUAUACUUUUAAAAGAUUACUUGAUAUUGUCUGACUUUGGCAGCAGAUGUUUGAGCUUGCUUUGAUGUAAAAAAGAUUAAAUAUUUUUGUCAAUACUUUCUAAUUGGGAAAUUUAUUCAAGAAGACAUCUUUAUAACUGGCAGUGCUGCAAGAUGCAAGGCACUCUAUUGCCUCAGACACCAUUUUUAUUCAUCAAUAAAACAUCAUAACAGGCAGCUGGUGAGCAGAGUGCAAGUAAUUUAUGGAACAGGAAGCUACAUUUCUUCUACAUGCUUUCUGAGACAUCCUUACCUGCCACUGCAUUUUGUUUGAUCUUUUCUCCAGAAAGCAGAGAGAACAAAGAAAAGUGAGCUAACAACUGCGUGCUGUACAUUCAACCAUUUUUAGACAAGACGUGUUUUGGUACCUUAAGGCAAAAAGCUUCAGGCUCAAAGUUCACAGAGUCAUUUUGAAGUAUGGAUAGUAAAUAAAAUGAAGCAACAUUCUGUAUAAUGCAGUCUGAUCACUGUUAUAAUUAACUUUACUCUGAAUGCUUUCUGGUGUGCGAUGCCAGCACGAUCAGGAGAGGUAAAAUAACAUUAUAGUAAAGGACUCGGCCAGAUUUGCAAACUUAUGUAAGUGCCUAAUGAUGCAAAGCAGAGACUAUUGGAAAUUAGAAAAGCCAACCAGCCUAUGAAAUACCAUUGACUUCACAUAUUCAGGCACAGCAGAAAAUACCCCUAUUAGCACCUCCAGACACUACAAGCAUUUUGCAAACACAGGCUUCAGAUACUCAACAUGGAGGGUGUACAGUAUGCACAACUGCACACCACAAACAGAUCUGUGACAACACGAAGCAAUAAUUUACUUAGCUGCUUUCUACCACGCAGAAAAUUUCUACAAAUGGGUCGCUUCCCUCUGUUCCUGGAAAGGGCCUUCACCUCUCUGGACUAGUACUGAACAGCCAAGCUGGGCCGAAUGCACCAGCUCAUGAGCAAGCUGGAUGCUGACAAGACAGCCCCACAGGAUGGCAGGGAUGGAGAGCUGGCUGCUCCACAGCCCUCAGCCUCUACACCCCAGCACCUCGGAGCCAAGAGCAGAGCGAACCCUGCGCCAGCCAAAGGCUCAGCCCUGACCCACACUGCUCCUGGAAGCUAAACCACUGCUGUGUGCAGCUUAGAAGUUUGGGGGUUUGUUUGUUUUCAAACAAUCAUCCAAAGCAGGUCAUGUUCUCAAAACAUACCCAAGGACUUCAGCUUCCAGGUAGUAAUUCUCGUAUGCUCACUCAGAAACCUCUGUAAAUAAAAGCGAAGGUUUCCCCAUACAGGUUUACCACUGGCAAAAGGUACCAACUUCAAGCUCUCUUUCUAAGAAGACAGGAAUUCCCAAAGCAAGACCCAGUAAGUCUAAACAACUCAGAUGUGGAGCACGAGAGACAACAGCAAGGGACCGAAAUUUCCAUGUAUUACUUUUUUUUCCCCGGAUAUUGAACAAAUUUGUCCAAAUUUAAAGAUUAAUAAAAUCUAAUGGAAGGUUUUAC
Lagopus muta (rock ptarmigan) is the source of this 4282-nucleotide long non-coding RNA. RefSeq lists it as uncharacterized. NCBI's taxonomy places the organism in Eukaryota, Metazoa, Chordata, Aves, Galliformes, Phasianidae. The transcript has 4 exons. The record is from RefSeq and is a predicted model, not a curated record.